UACAGAGGUCUCAAGCGUUGUUCGGAUUCAUUGGGCGUAAAGGGUGCGUAGGCGGCGAGGUAAGUCGGAUGUGAAAUCCCGGGGCUCAACUCCGGAUCUGCGGUGGGUACGGGCAGACUAGAGUGAUGUAGGGGGAGACUGGGAAUUCCUGGUGUAGCGGUGAAAUGCGCAGAUAUCAGGAGGAACACCCGUGGCGAAGGCGGUUCUCUGGGACGGUACUGACGCUGAGACGCGAAAGCGUGGGGAGCGAACAGG
Molecule: ribosomal RNA, 255 nt
Filed under: uncultured bacterium
Lineage: Bacteria
Description: partial 16S ribosomal RNA
Rfam family: Bacterial small subunit ribosomal RNA
Source: RNAcentral